This 66-nucleotide transfer RNA is filed under the name Allogalathea elegans. RNAcentral describes it as "tRNA-Phe". Lineage: Eukaryota; Metazoa; Arthropoda; Malacostraca; Decapoda; Galatheidae. The record is from RNAcentral.
ACUUUUAUAAUUUAAUAUAAGAAUAUUACAUUGAAGCUGUAAAUGUGACUAGUAAGUCUGAAAGUA